Sinocyclocheilus grahami is the source of this 847-nucleotide long non-coding RNA. RefSeq lists it as uncharacterized. The transcript is spliced from 5 exons. Lineage: Eukaryota; Metazoa; Chordata; Actinopteri; Cypriniformes; Cyprinidae. The record is from RefSeq and is a predicted model, not a curated record.
UGCAGUGGCAGUGUUUGUGCUGACUUUGUUCUUGAUGGUGUGACUGUAAAUAACGAUGUCUGCUGCAUGAAGACAUUCAUCUCCCUUUAGGAGUGAAACCGCUAAACCUGUCAAGAACACGCCUGAGACAUAUUUCAGCUCAAAAUCUAAAUAAAGAGAAACAGCUUUGCUGAAUGGACUGAAGGCUGUUUGAAAGCACAGCACGCUGGAAGCUGCUCCAUUCAGAAUAGUCAACAUGUUCUGACAUCCUGCCCUACAAAGAUGUUACGGAUUCCUGUUCCACGUCCUCUGUAAAUGACUAGCAGGAAAGAACUGUGCGCCGACUGACCCAGAAAUGAGCGAGACUCAUCCACAGUGGGAGAGUGUAUCAGUUCCUCUGAGCAAUCCCACCGUCGUACCGGCCCCUCGCACGAGACGCUCAAUCAACUAUGCAUGACUUGCCCUUAAUAGGUUUCUUCACUGGAAAUUUGGAACGGUUGUUAGCUGCUCGACUGGUAUGGAACCACUUUGGUCCCUCGAGAAUGGAGCUAUACUAUAGCAGUCUGCAAGAACAACUAUCACAUGGCCAUAGUCAUAAAAGCAAGAAGUCACACGUUUAUUGAAAGCAACCUACAAAUAUGAGAUGCAAGGAGAAACCGUAAACCAACUUCCAUCUGUACCACUGCACAGGACGAAUCUGCUGAUAAUAAAUUGAAGGGCACUGUCACCACCUCCUGUGCGGGUCAUUAAGAAGCAGUCGCUGUCACCUGUCACCAGCCGAUGUCAGUCACUAGCCAUGAUGAGCAGCUAUUAUUUUUUUUAGAAAUAUCGCCGAUUAUUUUUAUGUUUUGAUGGGAUAACAAGCUCC